This 1396-nucleotide long non-coding RNA is filed under the name Homo sapiens (human). RNAcentral's name for it is "HSALNT0219016". Lineage: Eukaryota; Metazoa; Chordata; Mammalia; Primates; Hominidae. The record is from RNAcentral.
CGCCUGGGGCCCAUCACCUUUCCUCUCCCUGAGUCCUCCAGAAUCCUCAUACUCACAGUCCAAGCCUGACUUCCUGGAAAGGUCUCCCGAAGCUCAGGUGAAACUCUCCUGAAGCUCAAUUCCACCUUGCUCCCUGCUGCCCUGAACUCUAUGCACUCCAAGUUGUCUCCUCCUCACACAUUCCUGACCAUCUGCUGCUUUGCCCACGUACAGACCCCUGGGAAGAUGAAGAAAUCCAGAUCUGGAAUGGGCAGUGUAUUGAGAGCCUCCAAAGCCGGCAGGAGGUCCAGAGGGGGCAGGUGUCUCUUACAGAAGGCAUGAACAGGCACUCAACAUACGUUUCUUUAUUUAACCCUCAAGAACUCUGGUAGGUAAAUGUACUCUCAAAUUUACAAACAAAUGAGGAAACUGAGACCUGGAGAAUCUAAGUAACUGCCCAAGAUCACAUAGGCUUGGAGUGGCUCCAAAACCUUUGCUUUUUUUUUCAUACGGCAUUUAACAUAUAAAAUAGAGGUCUAACCCUUUAUAUGUCUAAAAGCUUUCUUCUUUCUACAUUUCACAUAGCGUAGUGGUUAAGAAUGCAGACUUUCUGAGUACAGUCCUGGCGCUACAGUGUCUUAAAACAUAUAAAGUACUUAGAAUAGUACCUGAUGUAGCCACAAGUGCCCCCAGAACAUUAGCAAUUGUGAAUCUAUUUCAUCAUGCCCAAAUCUGGCCAUGCCUGAAGCCUGCCCUGCUUCCAUACUGGAAUCAGUCUUCCACCUCUGUUUUGUACUCCUUGUCUCCCAUCUGGAGCUCUGACAAUGUAGUGCCUGUGGCUGUAUUCUGUCCACCCAGCAGUGGGCCCCACUCUGGCUUCAGUCAGGCAGGAUGGCUCCCUUUGCUGGGUUUGGAGGAGAGGCCAGCCCCUCUUCCCAUGGCUUCUCCAUUCCAUCCUCCCAAGGCCAGGGCCCUAGCCAUUUCCCUCUUCGGGAAAGAUUCUCUGUGGCAUCCCUAAGCACAUUCCUCAAGGUGAGGUAGUUCCAUCUCCUACAGGCUCUCAGCCACAGCCACUGACCUCUCUAGUCUUGCAAAACCCAGAGCAGAGGAGAGAAUCACCUGUGGUUCUUUUGCCAUCUUCACUUAACCUCAGUGAACCCACAGCAAGAGCCAGGACCAGCCCUUUCCAGCAGACACCCUCUGGGGGGACUACAGUCUGGGCCACAAGUAUGGUGUUAACCAACCAUGGUGCCACCUGUGCUCUGCACUGUGCAGGCACCAAGAAGACUUGGGAGGCCAUGCAGACAGCAUUGCUUCUGACCUAGGAAAGCUACUCCACCCAGCAGAGGCGUGAUCCUCAGAAACUGAAGAGCACAUCAAAGAGUGUAUGACCUAAGCAAGACUGGGCCAGAUGAUU